This is a small nucleolar RNA of Hyalella azteca, 69 nucleotides long. NCBI's taxonomy places the organism in Eukaryota, Metazoa, Arthropoda, Malacostraca, Amphipoda, Hyalellidae. The record is from RefSeq and is a predicted model, not a curated record.
UUUCCCUGAUGAUUUUGAUACCGCCCCAGACUUACUUCAUCCUGAAUGAUUGGUUUUCACUGAAUGUUG